This is a long non-coding RNA of Ictalurus punctatus (channel catfish), 586 nucleotides long. RefSeq lists it as uncharacterized. NCBI's taxonomy places the organism in Eukaryota, Metazoa, Chordata, Actinopteri, Siluriformes, Ictaluridae. The record is from RefSeq and is a predicted model, not a curated record. The transcript has 2 exons.
GGAAGUGAAAGCUCCUCCUCGAGAAAAAGAAGAGCGAGAGAGUGAGAGAGGGUGGAAAAAAGAGGAGUGGAUGAUCUCCGCCCAUGACUUUAAAGAACCUGAAACAGGACGUGUGACAUGGACAAAAUGUGAUCUCUGUGGCGUGAUGCGUGGUGCCAAUACGAGUGCAGGGGUUUACUCAGAAUGGUGUGAAAAACAAAAAACAGCCAGUCUGCAGAUCUGCAGGGAGAAACAGCUUCAGGGAGAAACAGCGAGACAGGAAGGCUGAAAUAACUGCUCUUUAUGGCCAUGGCGAGCUGAAAAGCAUCCCAAUAUGCACAAUACCCUGAACCAUGAGGACGAUCAUUCCUGUCAGCCAAGAACAGGACUCUGAUGCUACAGUGGACACAGAUUCACCCACACUGUACAGAUGAAGACCGGAAAUACAGCAGGUGAUGUCUGUCCAGUCUUCACUGUAAACUGAAGCUCUCAGUCUGCGCCUGCAUGAUUUACUGCGUUGCACCGCUGACACGUGAUUGGCUGAUUGGAUAACUGCAUGAAUGUACGGGCGUUCCUAAUAAAAUGGCAGGUGAGUGUAUAAUCAUAA